Molecule: ribosomal RNA, 496 nt
Filed under: uncultured bacterium
Lineage: Bacteria
Description: partial 16S ribosomal RNA
Rfam family: Bacterial small subunit ribosomal RNA
Source: RNAcentral
GAUGAACGCUGGCGGCGUGCCUAAUACAUGCAAGUCGAGCGAACAGAUCAGGAGCUUGCUCCUCUGACGUUAGCGGCGGACGGGUGCGUAACACGUGGAUAACCUACCUCUAAGACUGGGAUACCAUCGCGAAACCAGAGCUAAUACCGGAUAAUAUAUUGCACCGCAUUGUUCACUAGUGAAAGACGGUUUUUCUGUCACUUAUAGCUGGAUCCGCGCCGUAUUAGUUAGUUGGUAAGGUAACGGCUUACCAAGGCGACGAUGCGUAGCCGACCUAAGGGGACGAUCCACAACUCGGCAGCUAGGACGCGCUCCAAACCCGGAAGUGAGACAGGAGCAGGAAUUCUUCCGCAAGGGCGAAAGCGUGAUGGAGCAACGCCGCGGGAGUGAUGAAGGUCUUCGGAUGGGUAAACGAUGUAGGCAGUGAAGAAGAAAAGUGUAUGUAACUAGGCACGUAAUGACGGUACCGGAUGAGUAAGCCCCGGCUAACUACGUG